GAUGAACGCUGGCGGCGUGCCUAAUACAUGCAAGUCGAGCGAACAGACGAGAGUGCUUGCACUCUCUGACGUUAGCGGCGGACGGGAGAGUAACACGUGGGUAACCUACCUAUAAGACUGGGAUAACUUCGGGAAACCGGAGCUAAUACCGGAUAAUAUUUAGCUUCGCAUGAAGCAAUAGUGAAAGACGGUUCUGCUGUCACUUAUAGAUGGACCCGCGGUGUAUUAGCUAGUUGGUGAGGUAACGGCUCACCAAGGCAACGAUACAUAGCCGACCUGAGAGGGUGAUCGGCCACACUGGGACUGAGACACGGCCCAGACUCCUACGGGAGGCAGCAGUAGGGAAUCUUCCGCAAUGGACGAAAGUCUGACGGAGCAAUGCCGCGUGAGUGAAGAAGGUUUUCGGAUCGUAAAACUCUGUUGUAAGGGAAGAACAAGUACGUUAGUAACUGAACGUACCUUGACGGUACCUUACCAGAAAGCCACGGCUAACUACGUG
This 499-nucleotide ribosomal RNA is filed under the name uncultured bacterium. RNAcentral's name for it is "partial 16S ribosomal RNA". It matches the Rfam family "Bacterial small subunit ribosomal RNA", at positions 28 to 507 of the family's 1533-position model. The record is from RNAcentral.